GAUGAACGCUGGCGGCGUGCCUAAUACAUGCAAGUCGAGCGAACAGAUGAGGAUCUUGCUCCUCUGACGUUAGCGGCGGACGGGUGAGUAACACGUGGAUAACCUACCUAUAAGACUGGGAUAACUUCGGGAAACCUGAGCUAAUACCGGAUAAUAUAUUGAACCGCAUGGUUCAAUAGUGAAAGACGGUUUUGCUGUCACUUAUAGAUGGAUCCGCGCCGCAUUAGCUAGUUGGUAAAGUAACGGCCUACCAAGGCAACGAUGCGUAGCCGACCUGAGAGGGGGAACAGGCACACUGGAACUGAGACACGGUCCAGACUCCUACGGGAGGCAGCAGUAGGGAAUAUUCCGCAAUGGGCGAAAGCCUGACGGAGCAACGCCGCGUGAGUGAUGAAGGUCUUCGGAUCGUAAAACUCUGUUAUUAGGGAAGAACAAAUGUGUAAGUAACUAUGCACGUCUUGACGGUACCUAAUCAGAAAGCCACGGCUAACUACGUG
This 497-nucleotide ribosomal RNA is filed under the name uncultured bacterium. RNAcentral describes it as "partial 16S ribosomal RNA". It matches the Rfam family "Bacterial small subunit ribosomal RNA", at positions 28 to 507 of the family's 1533-position model. The record is from RNAcentral.